RNAcentral lists this ribosomal RNA (250 nucleotides) under uncultured bacterium. RNAcentral's name for it is "partial 16S ribosomal RNA". It matches the Rfam family "Bacterial small subunit ribosomal RNA", at positions 524 to 773 of the family's 1533-position model. The record is from RNAcentral.
UACGAAGGGGGCUAGCGUUGCUCGGAAUGACUGGGCGUAAAGGGCGCGUAGGCGGAAUGUACAGUCAGGCGUGAAAUUCCUGGGCUUAACCUGGGGGCUGCGUUUGAUACGUGCGUUCUUGAGUGAGGAAGAGGGUUGUGGAAUUCCCAGUGUAGAGGUGAAAUUCGUAGAUAUUGGGAAGAACACCGGUGGCGAAGGCGGCAACCUGGUCCUUGACUGACGCUGAGGCGCGAAAGCGUGGGGAGCAAAC